Non-coding RNA from Leptonychotes weddellii (Weddell seal), 341 nucleotides. The record is from RefSeq and is a predicted model, not a curated record. NCBI's taxonomy places the organism in Eukaryota, Metazoa, Chordata, Mammalia, Carnivora, Phocidae.
ACCAAAUGCAGAAGGAUGUCCAAUGCAGUGUUUUCUAGAAACAAUGAACUCUUGGGAACUUAAGGAAAGAAGGCUGAGAACGUUCUUCGGCGGCUAAGUGGUGCCCUCUCCUUGGGGUCAUCAUCUGUCUGUGACAACGGAAUCCCUCGGGGAGUGAACCCCAGCUCACAUCUGGGCUGGGGUGCAACUGUCCAGCAGACAGGAGACCCGUCCCGCCCCUUAAACAGCUCCUACUACGCACUGGGCUCAGAGUUAUUGAAUGAACUGAGCAAACUCCCUCCUUGCCCUCCAGGAGCUCCUGGUCUGCUGGGGGCUGUGAAGGAGCAAACGGAUGAUUUGAA